Hirundo rustica (Barn swallow) is the source of this 1246-nucleotide long non-coding RNA. RefSeq lists it as uncharacterized. The transcript is spliced from 3 exons. Lineage: Eukaryota; Metazoa; Chordata; Aves; Passeriformes; Hirundinidae. The record is from RefSeq and is a predicted model, not a curated record.
GGCCGUGCUGUGACGAGGAAGGGACAAGAAACAGUGAGUUGGAAAUGUAAAAAGAAGGUGAGACAGAGUCAGAGAUAUGUGGGAUUGUUCACAGGACUGCAACUUAGCAAAGGUAUGGAAGACUUUUUAAAUAACAUGGGACUGCAAUGUAGAGAAGUAUUUUAGGUAAUGAGGUGCUGAUGCUUGAAGCCCCCUGAAUUUUUUAAAGAAGCACUCUUGAAUGCUGUGGCCAUCUCAACGACGACAAAGAAUGAGUCCUUCACAGAAUUCCUACUUGGGAGGAGAAAGCUGGAAAAUAACUAGAGAUGCUCCAGGGGUCCUACCUGUGUACCUAAAAUUAAUGUCUACAUCAUCAUCCCACGAGCACAUCAAGACUAAGCUAAAAGGAUGAACAGGACAUUGCUUCAAGGAAAAUAAUAAAGUUGAAAUAAAACUGCAUGGAAGAUUGUGAAAUGGCACCAGUUCAGAGAUAAUUUUUUUCUCACCCCCAAACAAAAGAAUUGGUUGACUAAGGAUUUACUGUCAGUCUCAUUUCUUGGUAUCAAAUACGGAUCCCUUCAGGUUCACACUGUCACAGUAAGGAAAGCACAGGUCUGUUUGGGCAAAAGUCUUUAUGCACACAUGUUUGCAAUUGAUCUUACGUGAAAGGGAAUCCUUCAGUCUGGGAAUAUGAAAAGCCCAUUUAUUAUGCUGUUAUGAUGCUAAUCAUAAGGCAUUUACAUCUACAGCUUUGUUCCAUGAGGGACUCUCUGCCAAACAUCACAUUGGCACUUACAGAGACAAAAGACAAUUUCCACAUAGCUGGAGGUUUAACUGUGCACGUGACGAAAGUGCUUAGUGACAUAAUUUCAGGGAGUAACUGGUACACGUGUAUCACAUGAGGAUUUUACCUAAACACUGGCCUUCUAACAGCCAGUAGCCUUCAGUGCAGGAGCAGGUAUAGCCCCCCUCAGUAUUUAUGCAGAUCUGAGUGGGGUUACACUGGUGAGAAUCUGAAGCGCAUUCAUCCACAUCUGCAACAAAGAAAUACAGAAGGAAAAUGUUAAAAAUAGCAACAACAAAAGAUCUUACAUAUUGUACAGUGUGUACACUGCCUCUGUGCAAGGAAUCAGAAUUCGGAUGAGUAGAGACAAUGGCCGUAACCUGAAGGAAAAUUCACAAAAAUAAAUGUCUGAGGGCAGUGAGAACUGAGGAUGCACAUCAAAUCUCUCAUUUUUGCAGGUGACCCAGUGUUCCAGUUUUUCUU